CCCUUAGACGUUCUGGGCCGCACGCGCGCUACACUGACGAAGGCAACGAGCUUUCCUUUACCGAAAGGUACGGGUAAUCUUUUGAAACUUCGUCGUGCUGGGGAUAGAUCCUUGCAAUUUUUGAUCUUAAACGAGGAAUGCCUAGUAAGCGCAAGUCAUCAACUUGCGUUGAUUACGUCCCUGCCCUUUGUACACACCGCCCGUCGCUACUACCGAUUGAAUGGUUUAGUGAGGCCUUCGGAUCCGCGACUCGUUUGUGGAGAAGUUGGACAAACUCAGUCAUUUAGAGGAAGUAAAAGUUGUAACA
Molecule: ribosomal RNA, 307 nt
Filed under: uncultured eukaryote
Lineage: Eukaryota
Description: partial 18S ribosomal RNA
Rfam family: Eukaryotic small subunit ribosomal RNA
Source: RNAcentral